GCCCCACCGUGCUGAUGCCCGCACCCCACUCCCCAGCUCACGUGCUGAAGCUCCACUCCUUCCUCCACGAGAGCGCCAGGCCCCCCCGGCCCAUCUUGGAGGCGCCCAAGCUCCCUGGACGAGGAGGACAGGACAGUCCCCGCCCCGAGGACAGAGGCGAGCCCAGAACCCUCGGUCCCAUGGGCAGCCCUCGGCCGAAAGGGAGCGAGCCUCCAAGACCCCUGACAGGAACGGGACGGCCCCCGUGCUCCCCACAGUGAGCCUGCACCCCUCCCCAGCCUCCAGCACCAAGACGUCCCGGGACGACCUGGAGCGAAAGGAGGGCGGUGGGGAGCCCUUCCUCUGUACGCUUUCCGCACUCAGAUAAACCGCCGCAUGCUUGUC
RNAcentral lists this long non-coding RNA (384 nucleotides) under Canis lupus dingo (dingo). RNAcentral's name for it is "lncRNA (ENSCAFG00020001383.1)". Lineage: Eukaryota; Metazoa; Chordata; Mammalia; Carnivora; Canidae. The record is from RNAcentral.